RNAcentral lists this ribosomal RNA (390 nucleotides) under Mirabilicoxa sp. RNAcentral's name for it is "partial 16S ribosomal RNA". Lineage: Eukaryota; Metazoa; Arthropoda; Malacostraca; Isopoda; Desmosomatidae. The record is from RNAcentral.
CUUUUAAUUAAAGCCCGGAAUAAACGAGGGGACGAUGUCCCSCCUUUCCCAGCCCUUCAAAAAGAAAUUGAUAUUUGCGUCAAAAAGAGCAACUAUUUGGGGGGACGAUAAGACCCCGUGAAACUUAAUUAAAUAUUAGUUUAUYUGAUYUCGAAUUUUAGAUUAAUUUUUUAUAAUUAAGCUGGGGCGGCAAUUAAUUYUYUYUAAAAAAAAAAACAUCCUAAAUGAAAAAGUCARAUCUUUAAAAACACAUAGAACAAGUUACUCCGGGGAUAACAGCACAAUUUUUCCAAACAGACCUUAUGGAAGGAAAAGACUUGUGACCUCGAUGUUGAAUUGAAAGACCCCGCACGAGCAAAAACCUGCCCAGGGAAGUCUGUUCGACUUUUA